GGGCAUAGCUCAGUGGUUAGAGCAGGUGGAAGGUCCCAGACUCAAUCCCUGGUGUCAGGCG
This 61-nucleotide transfer RNA is filed under the name Podarcis lilfordi (Lilford's wall lizard). RNAcentral describes it as "tRNA.Leu". The record is from RNAcentral. Lineage: Eukaryota; Metazoa; Chordata; Lepidosauria; Squamata; Lacertidae.